Molecule: ribosomal RNA, 491 nt
Filed under: uncultured bacterium
Lineage: Bacteria
Description: partial 16S ribosomal RNA
Rfam family: Bacterial small subunit ribosomal RNA
Source: RNAcentral
AGUGAACGCUGGCGGUAGGCCUAACACAUGCAAGUCGAACGGCAGCACAGUAAGAGCUUGCUCUUACGGGUGGCGAGUGGCGGACGGGUGAGGAAUACAUCGGAAUCUACUUUUUCGUGGGGGAUAACGUAGGGAAACUUACGCUAAUACCGCAUACGACCUACGGGUGAAAGCAGGGGAUCUUCGGACCUUGCGCGAUUGAAUGAGCCGAUGUCGGAUUAGCUAGUUGGCGGGGUAAAGGCCCACCAAGGCGACGAUCCGUAGCUGGUCUGAGAGGAGGAUCAGCCACACUGGAACUGAGACACGGUCCAGGCUCCUACGGAGGGCAGCAGUGGGGAAUAUUGGACAAUGGGCGCAAGCCUGAUCCAGCCAUACCGCGUGGGUGAAGAAGGCCUUCGGGUUGUAAAGCCCUUUUGUUGGGAAAGAAAAGCAGCAGGUUAAUACCCCGCUGUUCUGACGGUACCAAAGAAUAAGCACCGGCUAACUUCGUG